GCCCGAGUGGCGGAAUAGGCAGACGCGCCAGACUCAAAAUCUGGUCCUUCACGGGAGUGCCGGUUCGACCCCGGCCUUCGGCA
This 83-nucleotide transfer RNA is filed under the name Lactococcus cremoris. Its description in RNAcentral is "Lactococcus lactis subsp. cremoris tRNA-Leu". It matches the Rfam family "tRNA". Rfam says of the family: Transfer RNA (tRNA) molecules are approximately 80 nucleotides in length. Their secondary structure includes four short double-helical elements and three loops (D, anti-codon, and T loops). Lineage: Bacteria; Bacillati; Bacillota; Bacilli; Lactobacillales; Streptococcaceae. The record is from RNAcentral.